Molecule: long non-coding RNA, 499 nt
Filed under: Aotus nancymaae (Ma's night monkey)
Lineage: Eukaryota; Metazoa; Chordata; Mammalia; Primates; Aotidae
Description: lncRNA (ENSANAG00000038880.1)
Source: RNAcentral
GGGGGAGUGGAGUGUUCUCUGACUCGCCGGAGGACAGGGACGUUCCCUUCCGAGGUCUGCUGAGUGACAGGUGCUCCCUAAGUCCUGAUGCGGGUGUGACAGAGGGCCGGGCUUCGGCGUUCAACAGGUGGUCCCUGCUGGGCGCCGCCAGUCGACGGCGGACAGGAACUGGCCGAGGCUUCAGUCUCCUGCUUUGGCACUUGUGAGACUUUUCACCUGCACCAACGUGGCCCCAGCACCUCCCACCGCCGGCCAGUGAGGCGAGCCAGCUGCUUGAGUGUCCAGAGGCUGCUCCCCGCCCAGCCUGCCUUGCUGUGUGCCCACAAGCCUGAUGGCCCAGAGACGUUUGUCAGAGGAAUGCCUGACGGCGUGAGUGAGCGGACGUCUUCCUCCGUGAAUUGCCUUGCUGCCUACGGAGGCAGGACCAGAGGCUCCCUACCUGGCUGUCGGAACUAUGGGACGAUAGGGUGGCCCACUGUGUCCACCCCACCACCUCCCG